RNAcentral lists this transfer RNA (527 nucleotides) under uncultured Bartonella sp. RNAcentral's name for it is "partial 16S-23S ribosomal RNA intergenic spacer". The stretch from base 102 to 175 matches the Rfam family "tRNA". The record is from RNAcentral. Lineage: Bacteria; Pseudomonadati; Pseudomonadota; Alphaproteobacteria; Hyphomicrobiales; Bartonellaceae.
CUUAGGCUUUCAGCAAGUAAAAGGGGCUUUAAGGAAAAAGAGCUUUAAAAAAGCUUUUCCGUAAGAUAAUGCCGGGGAAGGUUUUCCGGUUUAUCCCGGAGGGGCUUGUAGCUCAGUUGGUUAGAGCGCGCGCUUGAUAAGCGUGAGGUCGGAGGUUCAAGUCCUCCCAGGCCCACCAUUUUGUAUCAAUCUAUAAGCGCUUGUAGAACUUUCUUCUAUAAGGCUUUCUUGUAUAUUUAUAUGAAGCUUAUCUACGAAGAAGUUUCCUUAUCAAAAUGUGAAGUUUCUUUCCUUUGCUUAAGCAAUCGGGAGUUAAAGCGGUUCAAACGAACAGUGAUCCCAUAAAGGGUAAUGUUGAAUUGAAAAAUCUCAUUUACAAGUUUUGAACCUUUUCUCUUUAUUUAGGGGCCGUAGCUCAGCUGGGAGAGCACCUGCUUUGCAAGCAGGGGGUCGUCGGUUCGAUCCCGUCCGGCUCCACCAUUUAGGUCAUCAUCAUUGUUGUGAGAACACUCUUUAGUGAAAGGUUA